AUGAACGCUAGCGGCAGGCUUAAUACAUGCAAGUCGUACGGGAUCCGAGGUAGCAAUACUUUGGUGAGAGUGGCGCACGGGUGCGUAACACGUAUGCAACCUACCUUUAACCGGGACACAACCUCGAGAAAUUGAGGCUAAUAUCCCAUAACACUGCGAAGUGGCAUCAUUUUGCAGUUAAAACUCCGGUGGUUACAGAUGGGCAUGCGCGACAUUAGCUAGUUGGUGAGGUAACGGCUCACCAAGGCUACGAUGUCUAGGGGUUCUGAGAGGAUUAUCCCCCACACUGGUACUGAGACACGGACCAGACUCCUACGGGAGGCAGCAGUAAGGAAUAUUGGUCAAUGGGCGCAAGCCUGAACCAGCCAUGCCGCGUGAAGGAUGACGGCCCUAUGGGUUGUAAACUUCUUUUGUACGGGAAAAAACCUCUGGUCGUGUAUCAGAGCUGAUGGUACCGUAAGAAUAAGCAUCGGCUAACUCCGUG
Molecule: ribosomal RNA, 484 nt
Filed under: uncultured bacterium
Lineage: Bacteria
Description: bacterial SSU rRNA
Rfam family: Bacterial small subunit ribosomal RNA
Source: RNAcentral